RNAcentral lists this ribosomal RNA (527 nucleotides) under uncultured bacterium. RNAcentral describes it as "bacterial SSU rRNA". It matches the Rfam family "Bacterial small subunit ribosomal RNA", at positions 19 to 518 of the family's 1533-position model. The record is from RNAcentral.
CUGGUUCAGGACGAACGCUGGCGGCGUGCCUAAUACAUGCAAGUCGAACGGUCUUUCUAUGGAAGCUUGCUUCCACUGAGAAGAUAGUGGCGAACGGGUGAGUAACACGUGGGUAACCUGCCCAUAAGAGGGGGGAUAACAUCCGGAAACGGGUGCUAAUACCGCAUAGUUUUCUUGAUCGCAUGAUCGGGAAAGGAAAGACGGCCUUUGUGCUGUCGCUUAUGGAUGGACCCGCGGCGUAUUAGUUAGUUGGUGAGGUAACGGCUCACCAAGACGAUGAUACGUAGCCGACCUGAGAGGGUGAUCGGCCACAUUGGGACUGAGACACGGCCCAAACUCCUACGGGAGGCAGCAGUAGGGAAUCUUCCGCAAUGGACGAAAGUCUGACGGAGCAACGCCGCGUGAGUGAAGAAAGGUUUUCGGAUCGUAAAACUCUGUUGUCAGAGAAGAACAAGUUGGAGAGUAACUGCUCCAGCCUUGACGGUAUCUGACCAGAAAGCCACGGCUAACUACGUGCCAGCCGCUGC